UACGUAGGGGGCAAGCGUUGUCCGGAAUUAUUGGGCGUAAAGCGCGCGCAGGCGGUCAUUUAAGUCUGGUGUUUAAGGCCAAGGCUCAACCUUGGUUCGCACUGGAAACUGGGUGACUUGAGUGCAGAAGAGGAGAGUGGAAUUCCACGUGUAGCGGUGAAAUGCGUAGAGAUGUGGAGGAACACCAGUGGCGAAGGCGACUCUCUGGGCUGUAACUGACGCUGAGGCGCGAAAGCGUGGGGAGCAAACAGG
RNAcentral lists this ribosomal RNA (252 nucleotides) under uncultured Paenibacillus sp. Its description in RNAcentral is "partial 16S ribosomal RNA". It matches the Rfam family "Bacterial small subunit ribosomal RNA", at positions 524 to 776 of the family's 1533-position model. The record is from RNAcentral. Lineage: Bacteria; Bacillati; Bacillota; Bacilli; Caryophanales; Paenibacillaceae.